This 437-nucleotide unclassified non-coding RNA is filed under the name uncultured Thelephoraceae. RNAcentral describes it as "sequence contains ITS2". The stretch from base 1 to 155 matches the Rfam family "5.8S ribosomal RNA". Lineage: Eukaryota; Fungi; Basidiomycota; Agaricomycetes; Thelephorales; Thelephoraceae. The record is from RNAcentral.
AACUUUUAACAAUGGAUCUCUUGGCUCUCGCAUCGAUGAAGAACGCAGCGAAAUGCGAUAAGUAAUGUGAAUGGCAGAAUUCAGUGAAUCAUCGAAUCUUUGAACGCACCUUGCGCCCUUUGGCUAUUCCGAAGGGCAUGCCUGUUUGAGUAUCAUGAACACCUCAACUCUCACGGUUUCUCGUGACGAGCUUGGACUUGGGGGUUUUGUUGGCCUGUGGUCAGCUCUCCUCAAAUGAAUUAGCUUGCCGGUGUCUGGCGGCAUCAUGGGUGUGAUAACCAUCUACGCUUGUGAUCGUCUGCGAGGUAAACCUCUGGUCUGCAGAGGUUCGCCGGAGCUUAUAGAUGUCUCUCCUCAGUGAAGACAGCUGUUUGAAGUUCGAUCUCAAAUCAGGUAGGACUACCCGCUGAACUUAAGCAUAUCAAUAAGCGGAGGCU